Long non-coding RNA from Lycium barbarum (goji berry), 1167 nucleotides. RefSeq lists it as uncharacterized. The transcript has 3 exons. The record is from RefSeq and is a predicted model, not a curated record. NCBI's taxonomy places the organism in Eukaryota, Viridiplantae, Streptophyta, Magnoliopsida, Solanales, Solanaceae.
GCUUACAAGACCCUAUAAGAUUAAUUUAACAUUCGAGGACGAAUGUUCUAAAGGGGGGGAGGAUGUUACAUCCCGUAUUUUUGAACGUCAGAUUAUUUGUAAGCUGAGGUGGGGCCCACACGUCAAGAUUUUUUUUUUAUUUUUUUUGGGACAUGUGACAAAUUAUAUGAAUCACAUAUGUGAAGUUAAACACAACUCAAGAAGGACCCUUGGGCCAAAUCAAAGUGGAAGUCCUCCAAACGAAUAUUUUUAAGAAAACGUUUUCGGGUGACCUGACUUUGGGGGGCAAAAACGGUAUUAUAUGUUUGGAAUUUGGAAAAAUACCAAGAAGUAGAAGUUGUAGAUAAUUGAAUUAUCUUUCCAACCAUAGGUCGUGGGUUCCCAGGUGACGUCGGUACAAGGAGAUAUGGACGUUUUAAGGUCGAAAGGUCAGUGGGCUAGGCCCAACUCGGGACCAACCGAGUUGGCCCAAAAAAAUGAAAAGAAAAAUUUAGGCCCAAGGUGAGAGGGUGGCCGGCCAUACCUGGUCCAAGCCCACCAAAUUAAUUAAUUUCCAUGUGGCAAAUUAAUUAUAAAGGGAUCAUUAUCCCUUAGAUGAUUCAAGAAACUUAGAAGGAGAAAGAACAAACAAAACAAGAGCAAAAAAAAGGGCCAUUUCGGGUUUGGCCAUAGAAAAUUCACCCCUCCAAAUCUUCCUCCAAAAAUUAUUUUCUUGUGGUAUUCCUACUAAUUUAAGGGUCCUUUACAACUUGGUGUAAUUGUUUUGGAAGAAGGAGCACUUAUUUCUUCAAGUUGACAACUUGUUCAAGUGAAGGAAUUGUAGAAAAAGAUUUUGGGCGAAACGGGAAUUGAAUUUGGAAAGGCGUAAAGAGCAUAUAAGGUACAGACGACAGGUUUGCUGAUCCGCACGUUUAGGAUCCCAUUUCUGCUAUUUUGGGGCGCUCUCUUCUACAGAGCCCAUCUUUUGGUACAGUCUGUCACUGCUAUCUAGAUAUGUACUUUGUUCAGGGUAUGACGGGGCCCUGUCCCGUCUUAUGAUUAUGAUAUGUUCUGUAGAGGUCUGUGGAUACAUCUGUGUGGGUUCUGUACAUAUGUUUGGGAUGUUUUGUUUUAUGAUAGCCUUAUCGGCUUCUGUGUGCCAAGUCUGCUCUUCGGCUAAAUUCUGUA